RNAcentral lists this ribosomal RNA (484 nucleotides) under uncultured bacterium. RNAcentral's name for it is "partial 16S ribosomal RNA". It matches the Rfam family "Bacterial small subunit ribosomal RNA", at positions 30 to 507 of the family's 1533-position model. The record is from RNAcentral.
AUUGAACGCUGGCGGCAGGCCUAACACAUGCAAGUCGAGCGGAUGAAGGGAGCUUGCUCCUGGAUUCAGCUGCGGACGGGUGAGUAAUGCCUAGGAAUCUGCCUGGUAGUGGGGGAUAACGUCCGGAAACGGGCGCUAAUACCGCAUACGUCCUGAUGGAGAAAGGGGGGGAUCUUCGGACCUCACGCUAUCAGAUGAGCCUAGGUCGGAUUAGCUAGUUGGUUGGGUAAAGGCCUACCAAGGCGACGAUCCGUAACUGGUCUGAGAGGAUGAUCAGUCACACUGGAACUGAGACACGGUCCAGACUCCUACGGGAGGCAGCAGUGGGGAAUAUUGGACAAUGGGCGAAAGCCUGAUCCAGCCAUGCCGCGUGUGUGAAGAAGGUCUUCGGAUUGUAAAGCACUUUAAGUUGGGAGGAAGGUCAGUAAGUUAAUCCCUUGCUGUUUUGACGCUACCAACAGAAUAAGCACCGGCUAACUUCGUG